CGCGUCUGCCGUGAAAGUCCGAGGCUCAACCUCGGAUCUGCGGUGGGUACGGGCAGACUAGAGUGAUGUAGGGGAGACUGGAAUUCCUGGUGUAGCGGUGAAAUGCGCAGAUAUCAGGAGGAACACCGAUGGCGAAGGCAGGUCUCUGGGCAUUUACUGACGCUGAGGAGCGAAAGCAUGGGGAGCGAACAGGAUUAGAUACCCUGGUAGUCCAUGCCGUAAACGUU
RNAcentral lists this ribosomal RNA (227 nucleotides) under uncultured bacterium. RNAcentral describes it as "partial 16S ribosomal RNA". It matches the Rfam family "Bacterial small subunit ribosomal RNA", at positions 584 to 810 of the family's 1533-position model. The record is from RNAcentral.